This 833-nucleotide ribosomal RNA is filed under the name Circinotrichum circinatum. Its description in RNAcentral is "eukaryotic LSU rRNA". It matches the Rfam family "Eukaryotic large subunit ribosomal RNA", at positions 76 to 937 of the family's 3401-position model. Lineage: Eukaryota; Fungi; Ascomycota; Sordariomycetes; Xylariales; Coniocessiaceae. The record is from RNAcentral.
UCCCCUAGUACGGCGAGUGAAGCGGGAACAGCUCAAUUUGAAAGCUGGCCUUCUGGUCCGCAUUGUAAUUUGUAGAGGAUGCUUUUGGCGCGGUGCCUUCUGAGUUCCUUGGAACAGGACGCCUUAGAGGGUGAGAGCCCCGUACAGUUGGACACCUAGCCUUUGUAAAGCUCCUUCGACGAGUCGAGUAGUUUGGGAAUGCUGCUCUAAAUGGGAGGUAAAUUUCUUCUAAAGCUAAAUACCGGCCAGAGACCGAUAGCGCACAAGUAGAGUGAUCGAAAGAUGAAAAGCACUUUGAAAAGAGGGUUAAAUAGCACGUGAAAUUGUUGAAAGGGAAGCGCUUAUGACCAGACUUUUUCCUGGCGGAUCAUCCGGCGUUCUCGCCGGUGCACUUCGCCAGGUUUAGGCCAACAUCGAUUUCCGCCGGGGGAUAAAGGCUUCGGGAAUGUGACUCCCUCCGGGGAGUGUUAUAGCCCGUUGCGUAAUACCCUGGUGGGGAUCGAGGUUCGCGCUUCGGCAAGGAUGUUGGCAUAAUGGUCAUCAGUGACCCGUCUUGAAACACGGACCAAGGAGUCGAACAUUUGUGCGAGUGUUUGGGUGUCAAACCCUCACGCGUAAUGAAAGUGAACGGAGGUGAGAGCCUUAGGGUGCAUCAUCGACCGAUCCUGAUGUCUUCGGAUGGAUUUGAGUAAGAGCAUAAAUGUUCGGACCCGAAAGAUGGUGAACUAUGCGUGGAUAGGGUGAAGCCAGAGGAAACUCUGGUGGAGGCUCGCAGCGGUUCUGACGUGCAAAUCGAUCGUCAAAUCUGCGCAUGGGGGCGAAAGACUAAUUCG